This 497-nucleotide ribosomal RNA is filed under the name uncultured bacterium. Its description in RNAcentral is "partial 16S ribosomal RNA". It matches the Rfam family "Bacterial small subunit ribosomal RNA", at positions 28 to 507 of the family's 1533-position model. The record is from RNAcentral.
GAUGAACGCUGGCGGCGUGCCUAAUUCAUGCAAGUCGAGCGAACAGACGAGGAGCUUGUUUCACUGACGAGAGCGGCGGAAGGGUGAGUAACGCGUGGAUACUCUACUUAUAAGACUGGGAAAACUUCGGGAAACCGGAGAUAAUAUCGGAUAAUAUAUUGAACAGUAUGGUUGAAUAGUGAAAGUCGGUUUUGCGGGCACUUAUUGAUGGAUCCGCGCCGCAUUAGCUAGUUGGCAAGUCAACGGCUUAUCACGGCAACUAUGAGUAGCCGACCUGAGAGAGGGGUCGGCCACACGGGAGCAUGAACACGCUCCCGACGCCAACGAGAGGCACCAGGAGGUAAUCUUCCGCAAUGGGCGAAAGCUUGGCAGAGCAGCGCCGCGUGAGUGAUGAAAAUCUUCAGGUCGUAAAACUCUGUUAUUAGGGAAGAACAAAUGUGUAAGUAGCCGAGCUCGUCUUGACGGUACCUAAUCAGAAAGCCACGGCUAACUACGUG